CGGCGCCGACGGCCUGCCGCACCUCAUCGUCAGCGGCGACCAGCGGCACUGGGGCGAGUUCAUCACCCCCGGCCUGCUCUUCCUCUACAUCGCCGGGUGGAUCGGGUGGGUCGGCAGGAGCUACCUCAUCGCCAUCAGCGGCGAGAAGAAGCCCGCCAUGAGGGAGAUCAUCAUCGACGUCGAGCUCGCCACCCGCCUCCUCCCCAGGGGGUUCAUCUGGCCCGUCGCGGCGUACCGCGAGCUCAUCAACGGAGACCUCGUCGUCGACGACAAGGACAUCGGCUACUACUAACUGCGUGCUGCACCUGCUUGCACAUCGCUGCUGGCGAGGCAAGACCGGAUCCAUUAUCGCUGAACAGUUUUGUUUCUUGAUUGGUGAUUACUAAUAAUGGAAGACUAAUUAACGUGCCUUGUGUUCUUGUUUGUUGUGCAGGGCGCAGUGCGUAUGUGGGGAAAGAUCGAUGGCUUUUGGUGUAGGAGCUGGUAGGGGGAAGGAAUCCAAGUGAUCUGUUGUACUUAAAAGAAACUGGAUGAAAGCCUUGUAUAAUUGGACUUCUAUCUCUUGUGUGUAUUCACCUUCAUGAAAAUUCUUGAGAAUAUGCUUCAAAAAGAUAAUCUUGAGAACAAUUUCAUUUUGCAUUGCGUUGCCACUUGCGUGUUAAUCGUCAGUGAAGAGGUAUAACUUCCCAAUUAGUUAGAGCACAAAAUUAAAACACAGAAUUGGUUCAAGUGCUCGACUAGAGGGAAGUACCAAGUUAUAGUUUAGAAGGUAAUUUUAUCUAGUUUUUUGGAGAUGCUCUUAAACAAAAGCUGAUGUGAGUGUUGGAUACAAUCUCAAAAUUACUGCCUUCACUCAACAAAGAAAAACAAAACAACUCCAUCACUUACUACUCCCUAAUACACAUAUAUAAUUCAGCUAAGUUCGACCCAAUGUCUUAGUGAAUCCCAAUUUGACAUUCAAAGUUAUAUUUGAUUAUUUCCUAAUAAACAAACUCUUUUCUGUGUAUACUAGCAGCAUUAAUAACAUAUUAAGAAGACAUUAGCUAUUGUACAAAUGUCAAAACCGUUCGGGAGUCGGGAAUCGUUUUGUAUAUUUCCUUGUAAUGUGUGAUAAAUUCAUAUUCUCUCUAAAAUUGUUCCUUUGACAAUCACUAUCAUUGUUUCUAAAAAAAAUUGACUAGCUUCCUCGAUUUGGAAUAGAAGAACUACAGUAAGCUGAAACACCAAUGAGAAGGUAAAACAUCUAAAAUUUCGGUGUACUCUCUUGUAUGUGAAAAAAAACUACAAAAUUUCUUUAUGAUUCUCAUGAAAACGUUUCGAGCAAUGUUGCUUGUUGCAAUAUACUCCCUCCAUACCUAUAAAGAAAGUUGUUUUGAACAAAGUUUUAAGUCAAACAUUGAGAAUAUAAAUCAUGAAUAACUUUAAGUUGUUGAGUUUGAAAAUAUGAAAACCAUAUGAAUAUAUUUAUCUUGAAAAACACUUUUAUUAAAAUAUACAUAUAUCAUUUUUGAUGAAUAUUUUUAUAAAAAUAAAGAGUUGAACUUAGAUUUUAGAGACUAUGUCGUUAAACGACUUUCUUUAAAUACGAGCUAGUAAUAGUUUGAUGUAGAAUAUCCUGUCGUGGUGCGGGCUUCGGGGCUAUAUCGGUCUUCUUGGUGUGGGGCACUUAGGUAGCCCGUUGUUCUUUGGUUGCAAAUUGUUUUUAUGUGUAAUCGCUUCUUGUAAUGCCCACCCGAGCCUUGCACAAUGACAUCUCGCUAUAUUGUGCUAGUCACUCUGUAAACUCUAAAUUUCCUCUUUAUAUGAAAUACUAUGUGCUGAACACGUUCUUGAAAAAAAAAGUCCUAUCGCAAUGAUCACUGGGAGAUGAUAAAAUUGUUUAUCGAGGAAUCAGUGCACUAGCCAUCCCAUAUCAGAUUACCAGUACAUGUAAAGAUGAUCAACAGGCGGCUCGGCCCGGCACGGCAUGCUAGACAUGGCCCGAUAGGGCACGGGCUCGUAUGGCCCGCGUGCCACCGGGUCGUGCCUCCAAGGCUAUCGUGCCUGCCUGAUGGACCAGGCACGGCCUGUGGACCGAUUUUCGAGCCGGGCCGGCCCGAAAAGCACGAAGUCCAAUAGUGCUUCAGGCCGACCUAUGGCCCGCUAUAUAAAAAACAUCAAAUUUAAUAUAUAAUUUAACAAAGCAUAAGUAAAUCACAUUCAAUUCGUAGACAUUAAUAUUUCACAAUUCACAUAACACAAUAUACUCAAAGAUCAUAUUUCACUUGUCAAAAAUUAUAAGUUUGACAAGUCACAUAACGAUACUUCAAGUUUCACAAAUUCUCUAAUACCGGACCGACACCGUGCCUGCUGUUAAAAGCGGGCCGUGCCGUGCCGCCCUGCGGGCCGAGGGGUCGGCCUAAGCACGGCCCGUUACGUGCUUCGGACCGGUCCGGGCCUGGUUAGGAUCGGAUCGUGCCGUGUUCGGGCCGAGCCAAAUCACCGUGCUUUGGGCCGUGCCUUCGGCCCGCGGGCUGCAUGCUCAACUUUAAGUACAUGUAAACGAGCAGGAGCUCGCCAUAAGCAUCCUACAGUCCUACGUGGACCAAGCGAACCGGUGCACCGACCACUCUGACUGCCACGCUGUAUAAUCUUAUCCACCCGCCAGCUUGACACGUCACCAACCGCACGUGCAGAACAGACACCCCACCUUCCUUUCACUGACACUCCAGCCCCGCUUGCUCGCACCGCGCUCCACUGACCCCCGCGCGCACCGUCGUGCUACGGGGCCUACGGCACACGCGUCGCGCACUCACUGGCACCGCACUGUCGCCCUUCAUCCGGUGGCCGCCACGACCCCAUCGGUGCCCCCUCUAACGUCACAAUCGUCAACGACACACCAUCCCAUGACAUGCGGGCCACACCGUUGAUAGGCCCACCUCGCAGUGAGAGACCUCCGGUGCGCGGAGCGCUGGCUCGGCGCCCAUCGGAUCCCCACAGGCCACAGGCCACUUCCUCCCUUUCCGGCCCUCCCCCCGCACCCCACUCUCGCCGGCCGCCGCAGCCAAGGCAAGACGCCUCCUCCCCACACCCGAUCUCCCCUCCCACCUCCGAUCGCUACGUAAACCCCCAGUCCCCCACCUCCUCCGCACUCCCCCGCUUGCCGCGCAAACGCGCGCCAUUUCAAAUCCCUCCCAAACCCUACCCCGCAUGGUCGAUCGGGCCGCCGCGCGGGCACAGGCAGCGGCGAGCUCCGACCCACCGCCGGAGCCCGACCCGCGGCUCCGCCAGCCCGCCACCGCUGAUGGGCAGGAGGCCGCUUCGACGGGGGCGGCCGCGGGCCCGCCUCCCCCGCCCCAGACCGGCGACGCUGACGAGGAGGACGCUCUGGCCUCGCCGGCGGGGCCGCCGGGCGAGCGGUGCAGAGCGAUGAUGGAGGUGGUAGCCAAGGACGGGGCGGGCGGGAAGUGGAAGGUGACCAAGCUGGUGGUGGAGCACAGCCACGAGCUGCAGGUCGCCACCGGGGAUGUCGCGGCGACCGUGCCGGCGGUGGGGAUGGAAUUCGACUCUGUCGACGACGCCAAGGGGUUCUACUAUGGCUACGGCGAGCGGGUGGGGUUCAAGGCGCGCAUGGGCUCCAACCGCCGCUCGGUGGGCGACGGCGAGAAGAUCCUGCAGCGGUUCCUCUGCUGGAAAGGCAAUUGUGCGAAUAGGAGUAAAUGUAAGGAUAAUUCGGAUGCAGGGAAGGAAGCAGAGGAGGUGGUGGAGGGUGCUUCUGCUGCUGCUGCUGCGGGGAAGAGGAAGAGGGAACCUUAUAAGACAAGGAGCCGCAAUCCCGGUAAGAAUACAGAGGUGAUUGAAGUGGAGAAAGGUGUUGGGUUGGCUGGUGCUGGGAAUGGGCUAGAGCUGCAGAAUGGGAGGCGUUCCAGGAGGGGUAGGAGUAAGAAGGCCGCGGUGGAGCAUGAUGAGGAGUCUGUUGUUGGGUUUGAGGUAGAGAAGGAGGUGGCUGAAGGUGCUUCUCCUGCUUCUGAUGGUGAUGGAGAAGAUUGUGAAGGGGAGGAGGAUAAGGAAGGACUGCAAGAGGAGGUUGAGGUGGAAGUGAAGGAAAAGAGAGGGAGAGGGAGGCCGAGGAAGACUGUUAUGGAGGACGAUGCCUUGCAGGCACACGUCUUGAGGGAACUUGGUGUAAGGGCAUCGCAGUACAAUAACGAGGAGAGAAAGAAGAUACUCAAUAAGUACCGCUCUAAACGGCAGAGCAGACCAGCCUCCAGCAGGCCUACCAAGGUCAACAGCUUAGUUUGCUAUCAGUAUUUACAUGUAAAGAUGUAUCAGAAACUUCAAAGUGUUCAAGAGACAUACUAAAAUAGUUGGCACACUCUUUUCCCUACAAGCACUUACUCCCAUAUGAUGUCGCAUACUCUUUUCCUUCUAGAUUGCUUCAAGGCAAGCGUUGGCUGAAAGGCGUAAGCGUGGUGAUGGAGGUAGAUUUCUGUCAAGUGAAGAACAGCUGGUAACUUUCUGACCAUGUUGCCUAUUUUGAAUGCUUUGCAUUGUUGCUACAGCAUUGGUUACAUGCUUUAUUUAUCCAUUAACCAAAGUGAAUAUCACAAACUCUACGCCUAAUGAUAUUCAUGCAAGGAAAUAAUGAUGACUGAAUGUGCCGUAUAUUGUUUUGUGGCCAGAAAAUAUGUACUGUUACCUCAUUUGCAUAGGCAGUUCAUUUCUACAGAAAAUGGUGUUACUUUGUGGCUCUUUACAUGCUUUUACCAGUCUUUUUUUUUGGGGGGGGGGGGGUGUAUGUGCCUCAUUUGCAUACACAGUUCAUUUCUACAGAAAAUGGUGUUAUCUUCGUGGCUCUUUACAUGCUUUUACCAGUCUUUUUUUUGUGUGCGUGUGUACUCUUGUGUGUAAAAAGUAUAUAUCUUGUAACUCUUCUUGUUGUGCGAUUGCUUAACUUGCUAAAUCUGAAUUCUGGAGUGUUAUUUCUUGCCGGUUAUGCUACUGUGGCUGUAGGCUCACAUAUUUGUAAUCAAUUAACUUAACCUGCCAGGUCUUUGUUAUUGUGUUAUCUGAUGAAUUGAUCGAAAUUCUCUUAGUUGGUAGGCACUAACUUGCUUCCCUUUUAUUCGUUAUGGUUUCCACUUUUCACUGCACAUGAACAAUUUACAUAUGACAAUUAUCUUGUUAUUAUUCUUAUGUUCUCGUACUCUUGUGCUCUGCAGCCUUCUCAGCUGCCUUCAGAAAGGCGUUCCAAACGUCUUGAGAAGCAAAAUCUCAAAAUGGAGAAGGUAAGAUCCAGUAGAGACGUGUAGAGUUAUUUUGUUUGAGGAAGAAGUGGUGCUGUAUCAUCUGAUCCUAAUUCCGACCUACGCACUUGGUUGCUUUAAGGAAUCACAUGCGUUGAUCUAUCACCACUUCAUCCCUCGCAAGCACAUGCUUAGUGCAGAUGAAGGUGAUCCUACAAAAAUUCAUGAGAUGAUUCCAUGGUGGACUAUCCCAUCAAGGAUGGGUUAUUUCCUUGAACCAAGCAUCCAUUAGUUGUGUAACUUUCUUUUUAGAGAGGAUCCACAGGUGUUGCAUAGGAGAUGUCUCUUAAGUCUGCAGUGUCUAAAUUUUGUUUAGUAACAGAACAGUCUAGAAUAAUAAAUUUUUAAAGUAAUACAACCUAUGAACAGCUGCAAUUGCAUAUGUUAUAUUUGAUUAAAUGCUCAGGAUUUUCCCUUGUCCAGGCUGAGAGCAAAGAAGACGAAACAAUGGAAGUGGAACCAGAUCCAGAAAUUGAAGUCGUCCCUGGACCUGGGGGAGAACCAAAGGUUGGGAUGGUUUUUCUGAAUGAGGAUAAAGCUUAUGAAUUCUAUGUCAACUAUGCUGGAACGGCAGGGUUCAAUGUCCGAAAAGGCUGGUUGGACAAAACAGCAAAGAAUGUUAUAAAAUCUCGAGCAUAUGUUUGUUCCAAGGAGGGAUUUCGUCCAAAAAGUGCUUCUAUUGAAUCAAAGAAACUAAGACCUGAAACAAGAACUGGUUGCCAGGCACACAUGACUAUUAAGAUUACAGCAAGUGCAAAAUAUGUAGUGACUGAGUUUGUGGCUGAUCAUAAUCACGUUCUUGAAACUCCCUUGGUUGACAUUCAGAUUUUGAAGUCCCAAAAGUUAUUAGCAAAGGUACUACAGCCUCCUGAUCCACCAAAAGUUGUUCUGAUACCAAAUGAGUAUAAAAAUUACACAAGGACAAAACGUAUGAAAGAUAUGCAGUUAGGUGAUACCCAGGCCAUCUGUGAAUAUUUACAUAGGAUGAAAGGCGAGAAUCCUUCUUUCUUUUACGCCAUUCAAGUAGAUGAAGAUGAUCAGUUUACAAACGUGUUCUGGGCUGAUGGUAAAUCAAUAAUGGACUAUAACUACUUUGGUGAUGUAGUGUGUGUUGACACAAGAUAUUGCACAAGUGACUAUGGGAGACAUCUACUGUUAUUUACUGGUGUUAACCAUCAUAAGCAGCUGAUAAUAUUUGGCUCGGCGCUGAUUUAUGAUGACUCAGUCCAAUCCUUUAGAUGGUUGUUUGAGACCUUCAAAUCUGCUAUGAGUGGAAAGAAACCAAAAACAGUUUUGACUGAUCAGUCUGAUGCACUUAGUGAUGCAGUUUCUUCUUCUUGGCCUGGUACCACUCACCGCUUCUCACUACUGCAUUUGUAUCUGAAUGCUACUAAGUUAUUCAGGGAUACCUUCCAAGGCUCGGAGACUUUUGCAUCAGAUUUUAGUAGGUGGCUGUAUGAAUAUGAGGAGGAUGACUUCUAUUCGAGCUGGGAAAUCCUUUCGGAGAAAUACAGUAUAAAGGAUAAUGAGUGGUUCUGUAAAUUGUAUGAGGAUAGAGAAAGAUGGGCUUUGCCAUGUGGGCGUGAUACGUUCUGUGCUGAUAUUGCAACCGCACUAAGAAGUGAUAACAUGGAUACCAUCCUGACAGAUCUUCUUAAACCAGAAAUAGAUCUUCAAAACUUCUUCAUCAAUUAUGAUAAGUUUUUGGAGGAGAAACGCCUAGCUGAACAACAAGCCGACUACCUUGGGGCUCAAAUAGCACAAAGAGUAGCACCACUGCAUCUGCUUUGGCAAGCUGCCAAUUCAUAUACUCCAACACUUUUUGAGAUGUUCCGGAUGGAAUAUGAACAGAUCUCAAAGUGCAUGGUCUAUAGCUGUGGCGAGAUUGGACCAAUAUCUGAGUACCAGGUAACUGUCAAAGACAGGCCUCGAGGUCAAUUUGUUAGAUUUGAUUCAACAGAAUGUAUGGUUGUUUGUAGUUGUAAGAAGUUUGAAUUCAUGGGUCUUCUUUGUUGCCAUGUAUUGAAAAUUCUUGAUCUUAGAGAUAUUAAAGAACUUCCACCACAUUAUAUCCUGAAAAGAUGGAGAAAAGAUGCUCAGAGUGAAUCUCCAGAGAACUAUGGGUUUGCCGCCAUAGAUGAAGAUCCCAAGUUUUCAUUGUCAAAACGGUACAACACAUUAUACCGGAAUUUGUAUAAAAUUGCAGCAAAAGCUUCAGAAAGCGUUGAAGCUUAUGCAUUCUUGGAAAGCCAAUAUGAACAGCUUGUUGAACAAGUGGAGGUACUUUUGCAAGCGAAGUUGCAUGAUAAAUCUUCCUUAAGUACUGUCCUGAAAGGCAAUCAGCCAAAUCUGCUUAAUAGUGAGGUAAGCAGCAGUGAACAUCGCAGAGCAACUGGUAAGAAGAUUAAAAAUAUAGAGGUGCGCCGUCAGCAACAAAGUCCUCUUGAUCCAAACAAGAAGAAAAAGGGUAGACAAGGUUUGUUCAUUACCUGCACUGCUACGGUAUUCGAUUUUAUAUGAUCAGUGCAUUAUCUGAUUAACCUGUUGUAGGUCUGCUGGAACCUGAGGAGAUUGAAAUUCCACUCAGGGUUGAUCCUCCCGCAGUUUCAAAUGAUAUCCAAAAUCAUUUAAGAACUCCAACAAAUCAGUUUCUUGCACCAAGCCAUAUGAUCCAGGUAAAUUUGGCACCCUUUCUCUUUUUUCUUUUCCAUAUGUAUUGAGGAACAGACGUGAUGUAUAUUAUACUUGUGCAAAUAUAGGCCCCUUAUGUUGCACAGCAGUUUGGUCUUGGUUCUCUACAAGGAUUCCCAGGCAUGUCACCAUUUGGGCAGGUAACAUGGAAAUCAUGACUUGUUGAAGCAAAAUAGAAUUAUAUACUUCUUUCCCUCACGGACUGCAAUUUAACAUGUCGUUAGAUUCAAGAACCAACACAUCUUCAGCAGCCUCAUUUACAACCACCACCCUUUCAUAGUGGUCCUCCAAUUACACAGGUCAUAUUUCCUAUUCAAUGCUACUUCAUGUCUGUGAGAGCCCUAUAAUUCUGCUAGUUAACAUAUUUCUUGGCAUUGAUAAUUUAUUGCUAUAAGUUGUCAUCGUGCCGCAGCACAUUCCCCUUCAGAGUAAGUUUGUAUAUAGGGAAACUUGCAUUUGGAUGUCAUUUAAAUCACUGAGAUCAGUAAAAUGUCACGUGAACUUAUUAAUUAAAUACUAGUUGUAACUUGUAACAAGUGGGUUGCGCUAUUGAAUUUCCUGACAAGUCAAAUCUUUCUUACUGCAGGCUCCACCUCCAGACAUUCAAUCACUGCAGUUUCUUAGCAGCAAUCCUCAAUUGGGCCACCAGACCACAGAUCAAGGCCAGUACACCAUUCCAGUCUGGGAUUUCCUGUGAUGUACAAUAUGUGAUGCAUGCGAGAAGUAGCAAUGUAGUUGUAAAUAAAUUAUGUAAUGACCAAUGAUGUAGAAACACUGCCUUGCCCGGCAGGUUCAUGUCAAUGAAAUCUUUUAGCAUGGUACAUUGGAUGGAUUUUUGGAGGUGGACGCAAUUCAAACGCACUUGUCAAAGCCAACCAGGAAUGGAGACUGCUGGUGUUGGAUCCAGGCAUAGCAAGGAUCCAGUGGGCGUUGGCAAGAUGUCAUGGUUCGGCACAAUUAUCAUACGAUAUCUGCCCUUUGGGCGUGGUAAUUGGGCCACCUGUAGGGGAGAGAACUAAACUGAACUGGAAUAAAGGGUGUUUAGUUCCCUUUUCAUCCCAAAAAAAAAUUAGGAUUUAGUCCAUCAUUUUACAUAAUAGAACUAAACACCAUAUAAAUUUUUUGGUAAAAAGAUGACUAUUCUCCAUUUGUAUUUUGACCUCAAGAAGCAGCAAAAAAAAAGGCUAGAUGAGCCUCAAAAAGCCAUAAUGAGGGCAAUAAAUUAUGUAUUUUGGAUGGAAUUAAACAUAACUCUAAAAUUUUUUGUAUUUUACAUUUCAUCAUUCCAAAAUAGUUGACGAACUAAACAUGCCCUGAGGAAAAGUUUUCGGCGUCAGCUGCAAAAACAAUUUCCUCUAGUAUCCUGAAUGUUAUGCGGAAAUGGAGUAAUUGGAGUACAAUAUGCAUUCUAUGUAGGGUUUACAGGUUAAUAUCAAUGUCCCAAGUCAGCUUCCACUUGAUGACAACGGAAAAAUUGUGUGCACUGAACUGCCGUUAUUUAGAUGUUCAGUAUGGCUUCAGAUUUCUGGUUUAGGUAUUGCUGCCAGGUUGCACCGUAGCCUGAUUGCUCAUGCUGACGUCCAUCUUCAGAACAAACAAUCUUGGGUCCAUCAAAGUUGAGGAUAUCAGUGUCACCAUCUUUGCGCUUCCAGUUUGAAGGGAGCUUCAUAUACUUAUCAUUGAAGGCCAGAGUUACAGCCAACCUAAUCUGGUCCCUGUAAAUAGAAUUUUAACAUCACCAAGACGGUUGUGAGUAUAUAGUGGCUAAACUUUGGCAUGAUUCAAAGAUGUGCAUUUGUGUUGGAUAUUAGCGUAUUACACAUGAAAUAGAAAUCAUGAGUUUAACUUACCUUUGAUUGGCUAAAUUAAUGGCAUUAAUCCACCACAUGAUGGAAGCAACCAGGUUUUUAUCCAGCUUGCGAGGCUCUAUCAAAAGCACAUCAAAAUCAAGUAGGCAUGCAUCCUUGUUAUAAGGUUCUUUAGACACCCAACUUUGUGCAGCUCCAGCUCUUUGUAUGGCACUAAGAACAUCCAUACUGAUAUAAUCAUUGAGACGCUUGCUGCAAUCUAAGACAGCACCGAUGGCAUAACUGCCUAAAUCCAUGCGACCAAGAUCUUCUACUUUACCCUGCACGGGGGAAAAAAAUCAACAUUUCACAGCAGGUAAUCCAAAGGUGUUGAUAAAAUGCUUAGUUUUGCACACUUUUUCACUUCCAAGUUCCAAAUAUCGUUGGAAUUUUGCUUUUGAGUGCAUGAAUUGAAGGUUUUCAACAACUUCGCUCAUUAUUUUAAAGAUAUGAAUGAAAACGUUUGAUCAUAUGACAGUACCACUCAUGCCAGUGAGAACUAAGGAUGCAAGUGGGGCGGCGGUGGGUAGCCCACCGCGAGUCCGCAUCAACUGCGAGCAUUACGUGGGCUCAUGCGGCAGCCCACGUCUCGCCGCUAUCUCGUUGUGGGUAGUAGCAGCAGCCCGCAAAGUGCCGCAACGCAUGUCCGCUGCUAUCUGCUAGCCUCCUCCAUGGACAGACUCUCAUCUCUCGGUCAAUGGUUAAUGGAUGUUCUGGAAUGGGCGAAUGGCCAUGGCUGGACGCAUGUACUCAACACCGUUCAAUCGAUGCAAUGCUCUGUGCAAGACGCGAGUCGUACGUGCGUGCUGAUUGCUGAUGGAGUGAUGGUAGCCAGCAGGAGUAGACAGGCCGGCGACCGUCAUCCGGUUCCAGUCCCUUUGCAGCACUGGCUGCUGGGCGCCGAUGCACGUGCGGGUGUGCCGUUGAUUGGAUGGCUGCCUUUGGACUCCGAUUCAACACAACUACGCAACCGACAUCGCCAUGCUCGCCCUCCACGGUUGCGCCUCCUACCUCAACUUUAGGGACUUCACGAGCCUGCAGUGGCAACAGCGCCGCUGACCUCCGACGCCCCGCCAUCCAGCUCGCCACCGCCGCCGACGCCUCACAAUUGCAGCAGCAUGCUGCCCAUGGCUCACACGGCAGCACCCAUGUCGUCCAUGUCAGUCGCCUAGGCUGCACCCGUGCCCUCGGCAACGCUACCGUACGAGGCGGACGAUGCCACGACGACAGCGGAAUGUAUGUGGGUUGCCGCUGGGUACUUGUGGGUUGGGCACUUCAACCCACUCUAUCUAAGUGG
RNAcentral lists this long non-coding RNA (11120 nucleotides) under Sorghum bicolor (sorghum). RNAcentral describes it as "long non-coding RNA (SBIC_LNC000097)". Lineage: Eukaryota; Viridiplantae; Streptophyta; Magnoliopsida; Poales; Poaceae. The record is from RNAcentral.